This is a small nuclear RNA of Equus caballus (horse), 150 nucleotides long. Lineage: Eukaryota; Metazoa; Chordata; Mammalia; Perissodactyla; Equidae. The record is from Ensembl.
GUGCUCCUAUGAAAGGUGAGAGAGGGCUAGCAAACCCCUGGGCAAGAAUGGGAAGACACUGUAAUGCCCCAUACAACACAGAUAUGCUUAAGGCACUGACCACCACGGACUUACUGUGCGUAUGAUAAACAAACAAAAACACCAUACUUG